CAGUGGGAAAGACAUCCCUCCCUAAAGACAAUCUCCUUCCUUUGCCAUUGGGCUCAGCCUUUUUCAGCUGUUCUGCAUGAACUGCAGAUGGCUGCACCUGGGUCAAGUUGUUAGCAGGCAGAGAGGAGGUUAGAAAAGCUCUUUGCUGCAUGCAGCUUGGUGAGUCAGAGGAAGGGAGGCCUUUUGGAAAGAGCAGUGGGGCUAGCUGAGAACUAAGCAGCCUGUGCUACUGACAGUAGGAUCUGCAUGAUAAUGCUGGAGUUCCACUGAGUAAGUGGAGUACGCAACCUAGGAUAUGGCAGUCCUAAGCCUGAGGGGAACAAAGGAAGACUAAAUUCAAGACGAGUCUUCCCCUUUGUUACUGUUUGCUGGUGCCUUGAUCCUGCCUUCCAUUUCCUUCGGGGAGAAGACAAGUCCGAGGUUCCUGUCCCACCCACUUGGCAGAUGUAGCCUAUGAGUGCUUCACACUGGGACAGUUGUGGAGGCAGUGUCUUGUAUCCUCACAAGGUCUGCUAGCCAGUGCUUGUGGGAAGGUUCAAAAGCACUCCUAGGAGCUAACAGGGCCAAGACAGGAGCUGUGAGGUGGAUAGGAAAGUGCCCAGCAGGCUGGGAGCACCUAGGCCUCAAGGCCUGACUGGUGGCAGCAGGGCUGCGUGCUCCCAGCAGGCUUCUCCUGGGGAAAGGAGGUUCAGUGGGGAGGACAGAAAGAAAUCAUCUCUUGGCAGAGUUAAGGAGGCAAUCAGAGAUUAGGAGUGGCUAAUGGCUGGCUCAUUAGCAGGUGUCUAUUUUCCUGUGGUGCGUUUGCCCUCCUGUAGGUACAGAGGUGUUGACCAACACCAGGUUUACAACAGCGGGAGCACAGCCUGACAUCAGGAGCUGAUAGGAAAGCCAUGGAUUGCACAGAGCACGCCUGGGCAUUCUGCUGGCAGUGGGAGGAGUCAUGGUGCUCCCAGCCCCCUGGGACCUCCUGCCGGUGGGGGGUAAUGUUGGUCAGCUUGCUCAGCUGAGCACCACACCUGCUGAGGGACUGCCUUCCUCUUAAGGGGCCCUGCAUGUCUUCAGGCAGGCUGAAGGUCUCCUGGUUUGAUUUGAGGAUUGUUCAGGCAGCAUCUCUCCCUGAAAGGCCAGAGACUAAGGCCUGCAGCAACCCCUGCUUGGAGCUACCCGCGUAUUAGGCAGUGAUAUUGGAUUAUUGCAGUGAGCUCCUGCCUUAGGAUUGGCUUCAUCUCGAGGACAAGGGAAGACGACUUGAAGAUGAGACUGCUUGGAGGAAAUGAGAUCUUCUGUUCCUACAAGCAUACAGAAACUGAGUGCAGCAAGACGGAAGACCCAAGACCUGGACACUCAGUGUAGAUUAAAAGCAGUUAAAUGCUUUUAUAAAUCUUCAACUGCUUCCUUUGUAUAGCGCCCAUGGAUUCAAAGCUGAUGUGUGGACUUGUCCAGGCCAGAAAGAAUCCUUCACGGCUGUUUUGCAGAAAUGGAGAUGUUUAAAAGCAGUGAGUUGGAAAGGCAGUAUUUCCUGUGCUUCUUGGGUGAAAUGUGCCAUAUAAACAAGAUAGAAAACUGAGAUUCUGUGUAGGGGUAGGUUUCCCAAAUGAUAAGCAUUCACCCAGCAUGUCCCUCACAUUUGCUGUGCUGUGCAAGGGCACUGUGCUCUGAGUGAUGCUAAUUAUGCCCACCGGUGCCCAGCUCAGCUCCCACAGACAAUGCUGCAGCUGCUGCAGUCCACAGUAGUGCUCACUGAUGCUUCUAAAACAGGAACCACUCUGGUCCAGGAACAGCUGGGCAUGGCCCCAGAUCUUGUGCUGAAGGUAGACCCUCGUGUGCAGUGCCUCAGGACAUGGAAUAUGCUGCACCUAUUAUUGGCGGUGACUUGGAGGGAUGGCAGCUUACUGGAUAUCCCCCAUGUGAGACUUAGAGGGUGAAGGGUAGGCUAUUUCGUGUAGUGCUGGCUGAGGGACAGCUGCAGCUGUCCGUGCCUGCCAUAUUAUCUAAGGAAAGGUCCUUCAAAAAGGCAACACGAAACAAUGAUCCUUGAUUUCUCCUUUUAUAGGCCAAAGCUUAUAGCCUGAGUGUAAAUUCAAAA
Numida meleagris (helmeted guineafowl) is the source of this 2086-nucleotide long non-coding RNA. RefSeq lists it as uncharacterized. The transcript is spliced from 3 exons. NCBI's taxonomy places the organism in Eukaryota, Metazoa, Chordata, Aves, Galliformes, Numididae. The record is from RefSeq and is a predicted model, not a curated record.